AAUAGAAUGCCUGAACAAAAGGGUUAUUUUGAUAGAAUAAAUUAUGUAAUUUUAUUACUUCUAUUA
RNAcentral lists this transfer RNA (66 nucleotides) under Staphylinoidea sp. 6 KM-2017. Its description in RNAcentral is "tRNA-Ile". Lineage: Eukaryota; Metazoa; Arthropoda; Insecta; Coleoptera. The record is from RNAcentral.